This 784-nucleotide long non-coding RNA is filed under the name Sus scrofa (pig). Its description in RNAcentral is "lncRNA (ENSSSCG00055014486.1)". Lineage: Eukaryota; Metazoa; Chordata; Mammalia; Artiodactyla; Suidae. The record is from RNAcentral.
CUUCCUCUCGCGCUUGGUAUCCGCUGCCUCUUUACCCCUUCCCCUCCUUAUUGUCCCCCUCAUGCCUUUCUAGGCUCACGCACUCUCUAAAUGUUUCUUAGAUACGUCCGCACUACAUUUCCAUCACCCCUCACUCCUGUGGUCUCACACUUUGACCUCCUUAAUUCUUGUUAAUUCACUUUGGUUUCCCCUGCGCAGUCUCUGCAAACAGCAAGUUAAUUUGUACCUCUCAGACUUGCGAGAAUAAAAUGAGACAACGUAUGACAAGCACUGACAAAAACACUUGGCACAUGUCAUCUGUAGCACUAUUUGUAAAUAGUCUGGACUCAGUGGAACCUGCUGUCUUAUGAAUAUAAUAUUUUUAACAAGACAGAAACAUGUUCAAAAGUUUGUGUAAAAUUUUAUGAUAUAGCAAGUGAAGAUCGAAAGAAAAGGCUGGAUUUUUUGAAGAAAGGAACACAGCUGAAUUAUCAACGUCACUGGAAAACAAACAUAUCAAGUGGGAUUCUAGAUGGGAUUACAUUUUGGAGUCUAUGCCUCAUCCCCACAUCCAGUGGCUUAGGUAAGCACUUUAUGAAAUAAAGAAUAAGCAGCUUCAUGGAGUUCCUGUUGUGGCUCAGUGGUUAACGAAUCUGACCGGCGUCAAUGAGGAUGCAGUUUCGAUCCCUUGCCAUGCCCAGUGGGUUAAGGAUCAAGUGUUGCUGUGAGCUGUGGUGUAGGUCGCAGAUGGGCUUGGAUCCUUUGUUGCUGUGGCUGUGAACUUCCAUAGGUCUUGGGUGUGGCC